Molecule: ribosomal RNA, 492 nt
Filed under: uncultured Arcobacter sp.
Lineage: Bacteria; Pseudomonadati; Campylobacterota; Epsilonproteobacteria; Campylobacterales; Arcobacteraceae
Description: bacterial SSU rRNA
Rfam family: Bacterial small subunit ribosomal RNA
Source: RNAcentral
CUCAGAACUUAAAGGAAUUGACGGGACCCGGCACAAGCGGUGGAGCAUGUGGUUUAAUUCGACGAUACGCGAAGAACCUUACCUGGCCUUGACAUACUAAAAAGCUUUAAGAGAUUAGAGUGUGCUAGCUUGCUAGAAUUUAGAUACAGGUGCUGCACGGCUGUCGUCAGCUCGUGUCGUGAGAUGUUGGGUUAAGUCCCGCAACGAGCGCAACCCUCGUGUUUAGUUGCUAACAGUUCGGCUGAGAACUCUAAACAGACUGCCUACGCAAGUAGGAGGAAGGUGAGGACGACGUCAAGUCAUCAUGGCCCUUACGGCCAGGGCUACACACGUGCUACAAUGGGGUAUACAAAGAGCAGCGAUACGGUGACGUGGAGCAAAUCUAGAAAAUGCCUCUCAGUUCGGAUUGUAGUCUGCAACUCGACUACAUGAAGUUGGAAUCGCUAGUAAUCGUAGAUCAGCAAUGCUACGGUGAAUACGUUCCCGGGUCUU